This 1308-nucleotide long non-coding RNA is filed under the name Anser brachyrhynchus (Pink-footed goose). RNAcentral's name for it is "lncRNA (ENSABRG00000018995.1)". The record is from RNAcentral. Lineage: Eukaryota; Metazoa; Chordata; Aves; Anseriformes; Anatidae.
CCAGCAGCUUGAUGGUCCAGUGUAUAACUUGGAACACAAUUGAGCUGACUCUGAUGGGCUUCACCAUCCCAGAACAUACAAUCCGUGACUAAAUGGAGGGCAUCACCUGUGCUCUAAAGGCCAGACUGGCACCUGCUAACAAGGUCUGCAAGGUAAAACAUUGUCCCCCUCCAGAAUCCAGACUUUGAUCUCAUCUUUUAGCAGCAUCUUAGACCAGUGUGUUUAUGUGGGUGUUCAGGCCUCCAAAGCCUUCACAAACAGCAACGGGCAGGAAGCUUUCUUAUGAAAAAGAAAAGGAAAAAAUGCCAGUUUUCACUGGGUGAAACGACUAUUUUCUGCAUACUAGUUUGAGACUGAGCCAAAGCUGUGAAAGCGGACUAUGAUUUUUGACCCUUCUCAUAACUACUUUCCCUCAUCUGUAGAGGUGAGUAAAAUCAUGCUAAGUACACUGCACUUCUAGGCUCUGAUGAGGAGAGUCAAACAAAACCUGUAUAUAGAAGUUUUAAUGCUGAUAUGGCUAAGAUUAACCUCGGAUUGAGCCUGAGGUUUGUAGUUGAGAUCAGCUACAGCUGCAACACCUGGACCAGAGUUUCACUGGAGUCAGGGGAUCAGAUUGCUUUGGCUUGGACCCCUACUCUACUGUGGACACUUUUUCAUUAGGCUAAUCCAUGGUCCCCCAGAUUGGCCCCAACAUCACCCCAAUUUUGUGCCAUGGUUGAUGAGGUGGUGUUGCAGAGCUGGAAAAUACCCUCAGAUCUCAAAAGAAAGAUGCAAAGUCCUGUAACCAAGUUAUGCUUAUUCCUACAUGCUCACACUCAUGGCAUAUCAGGAACUCAGGGCAGCCAAUUUUUCAAGCAGUGCUAAAACAUGUAUUUCACAUUGGUGAAAGGGAGGGACACCGAGCACUUAACCCUGCUCUUAGCCCUUCCCCCAGUUUUCUCUUUCUUGAGCCUGAAUUCAACUGGAAGCAUUAUUUUUAGAGCUGUUGAAUUUAACCCCAAACUCACCCACCCUUCCAGAAUCCUACUGUUGUGCCACAGUAAUGAUGUAAUACACAGUCAUCCCAUAACCAGGACUUGUACAGCACAAAGCCCAUUUGCACCCAUCAGAGUCUGCAAGGCAGCAUCAACCGAUGACUUAUCUUCUGGAGCACUGAAGGAAUUGAGUUCUGCCGAAGAAAUUAUUUAUGAAGAUUUUCCAAGUUGCUCAGAGCUUCAGAUGGAGGAGGUUGAAUAUGACUUCUUUAAUAAAACAGGCUGGGAUGUCAUGAAUGAGUUAAAAGGUCACAGGAAGGAAAUGUUGAUUUAA